UGAAUACUUAUUUUUAUUUCUCUAACCUCCUCACCAGUUCCCAAAUUUAUUAUAUCAGUGUCAUUUAAAUUGGGUUUGGGCUUAUCCUCAAAUUGAUCCAAUCCUUUUUUGACUUCCUUAUCAGCUUCACCUUCAUCGUAUUCAUCUAUCGUUUGGUUUGCUGAUUCGAGAUUAGACAACUUUUUAGGAUCUAAAUGUGAACUCCACGUACAUGCCAUGUUAUCGAAGCCAGUAUUAACAUAACUGAAAUAAGAUAAAAAAUUUUAAAAAGGGAAGAAAAGAUAAAUUUACUAGAAAAUUUGAAUUUCAUUUAGUUGAAUCGGAAAGGAUAUGACGGUUAACAUGAAAGCAGAGCAACUAAACUAUGUGGACUACAACCCUGAGAAUAGUCCAAAAUACAAAAGAAAGAAAAAUGAAACAACAAAAUAAACUACCAAGACUCCUUCCUUGUGGGGAGAGGAGUGGCUUCCCAGUUAGUGAGCUUGAUAUUUGGCCCGACGAACUGCACAUCUGCAUGGCUAGGGCCUUCACCCAUCUGAACCAUGUUUAUUUCAUAAAACAUUUCCUUGAGACCUUGACAUAUUUCAUCCACAUCCUUGUUAGCAUAUGGGUAUUAAUUUUCUUCCUUUUGAGCUUUCGUGAAAGAUUGGCUA
Molecule: long non-coding RNA, 653 nt
Filed under: Capsicum annuum
Lineage: Eukaryota; Viridiplantae; Streptophyta; Magnoliopsida; Solanales; Solanaceae
Description: long non-coding RNA (CANN_LNC016089)
Source: RNAcentral